GAUGAACGCUGGCGGCGUGCCUAAUACAUGCAAGUCGAGCGAACAGAUGAGGAGCUUGCUCCUCUGACGUUAGCGGCGGACGGGUGAGUAACACGUGGAUAACCUACCUAUAAGACUGGGAUAACUUCGGGAAACCGGAGCUAAUACCGGAUAAUAUAUUGAACCGCAUGGUUCAAUAGUGAAAGACGGUUUUGCUGUCACUUAUAGAUGGAUCCGCGCCGCAUUAGCUAGUUGGUAAGGUAACGGCUUACCAAGGCGACGAUGCGUAGCCGACCUGAGAGGGUGAUCGGCCACACUGGAACUGAGACACGGUCCAGACUCCUACGGGAGGCAGCAGUAGGGAAUCUUCCGCAAUGGGCGAAAGCUUGACGGAGCAACGCCGCGUGAGUGAUGAAGGUCUUCGGAUCGUAAAACUCUGUUAUUAGGGAAGAACAAAUGUGUAAGUAACUAUGCACGUCUUGACGGUACCUAAUCAGAAAGCCACGGCUAACUACGUA
This 497-nucleotide ribosomal RNA is filed under the name uncultured bacterium. RNAcentral's name for it is "partial 16S ribosomal RNA". It matches the Rfam family "Bacterial small subunit ribosomal RNA", at positions 28 to 507 of the family's 1533-position model. The record is from RNAcentral.